Molecule: long non-coding RNA, 1086 nt
Filed under: Ailuropoda melanoleuca (giant panda)
Lineage: Eukaryota; Metazoa; Chordata; Mammalia; Carnivora; Ursidae
Description: lncRNA (ENSAMEG00000028410.1)
Source: RNAcentral
AUGAGAGGAUCACGCAGCGGCCUUGGGAGGCCACGAUGGCAGGACAAGAGACACCGCCAGGCCAGGCGACCUCACCAGGAGGAGGGACGGAGCCAUAGACCAAGGUCACCUGGCGAGUCGAGAACAAAGCCGUCUGGGCUUUCUCUUGGAGAGCCUGAAACCUAUAAAUCCUUAAAUGGCAUUAUCAAGCGACAAGCACUGAGUUUCCUUAAUUCUCCAAAGGGAUUAGGAAAAUGCAGCCAAGCUAAGCGCCUCAGGGACUGUGCUUCUCCCGAGCUGGCCCCGCCCACGGCAAACACCCUUGGGCCUCGGACCGCCCCACUUCCUAACAGUGCAGCCUGUAAUUACAAUGACCGCAGGCGUCGGCAGCAUCUGGCUCAGGAAGACUUCCAAGGGGACAGGCAGGUGUUCGGGCGGACCCAACCACACGAACGAAGGUCGAAGGUAUCAAGUCUGGAACGAGGGGUUAGCCCUGUCCCUAAAUUUGCAGGGCCUGGGGCAAAGGUCAAAUAGCAAAAGGCCCACCUGCCAUGGGUCCAAAUAGUUAAGAGCUAUAAAUCAAGCACACUGUUGAACAAAUGCAUUCUGUCUCACACCUUGUAACAACCUGGUGUGAACUAGGCUCCCUUCCAGGACACAGGGAGUGGGGAGCAGGGGGUGGACAGUGGCACCCUGCUGACCUCUGACUUCUGAUCCCCCAUCGUAGCCAACUCCGGUCCACUACCUCCCUUCUUUCCCACCCCUGCCAGCCCCGUCGCUCACGGUGAAAUGUCCCAUGUGCACGAGUGUGGACAUCACAGCCUACGUGGCCAAGUUCUGUCCUCACGCCCCACGCCAGCAUGCCCCUCGGUCACCCUUGGUCUGGGGCUGCACAUGCCAGCCACGUAGCCAGGCAUCGGGGAAAACGUCCCCACAGAGCCCAGAAGGGGGCUCAGGACUGCUCUGACAGAGAACCAGUGGGGGGCAGUGGUUCUCCUCGGCAGGAGCCGUUGACAGAAUUUAGGGGUGAGCAGAGCUGGUGGUGGUUGUUCUCCAGGACAGCACUGGGAAGGCAGAGCUGAGGCAUCUAGAAUGUUCCCUCACUAA